GACGAACGCUGGAGGCGUGCUUAACACAUGCAAGUCGAACGAUGAAAUGGAGCUUGCUCCAUGGAUUAGUGGCGAACGGGUGAGUAACACGUGAAUAACCUGCCCUUAAUUUUGGAAUAACCCAGGGAAACCUGGGCUAAUACCGGAUAAGUAAACCUGUGGCAUCACAUGGUUUUGGAAAGUUUUUCGAUUAGGGAUGGAUUCGCGGCCUAUAAGCUUGUUGGUGAGGUAAUGGCUCACCAAGGCGACGACGGGUAGCCGGCCUGAGAGGGUGAACGGCCACACUGGGACUGAGACACGGCCCAGACUCCUACGGGAGGCAGCAGUGGGGAAUAUUGCGCAAUGGACGAAAGUCUGACGCAGCGACGCCUCGUGAGGGACGAAGGUCUUCGGAUUGUAAACCUCUUUCAGCAGGGACGAAGCGAAAGUGACGGUACCUGCAGAAGAAGCACCGGCUAACUAUGUGCCAGCCGCCGCCGUAA
This 482-nucleotide ribosomal RNA is filed under the name uncultured bacterium. Its description in RNAcentral is "partial 16S ribosomal RNA". It matches the Rfam family "Bacterial small subunit ribosomal RNA", at positions 28 to 523 of the family's 1533-position model. The record is from RNAcentral.